UGCCCUAUGGUGUAAUGGUAGCACUCCAGAUUCUGGUUCUGUCUGUCUGGGUUCGAGUCCUAGUGGGGCAACAA
Molecule: transfer RNA, 74 nt
Filed under: Sanguibacteroides justesenii
Lineage: Bacteria; Pseudomonadati; Bacteroidota; Bacteroidia; Bacteroidales; Porphyromonadaceae
Description: tRNA-Gln
Rfam family: tRNA
About the family: Transfer RNA (tRNA) molecules are approximately 80 nucleotides in length. Their secondary structure includes four short double-helical elements and three loops (D, anti-codon, and T loops).
Source: RNAcentral